UUCAUGGAGAGUUUGAUCCUGGCUCAGGACGAACGCUGGCGGCGUGCCUAAUACAUGCAAGUCGAGCGGACCGACGGGAGC
RNAcentral lists this ribosomal RNA (81 nucleotides) under Bacillus licheniformis. RNAcentral's name for it is "partial 16S ribosomal RNA". It matches the Rfam family "Bacterial small subunit ribosomal RNA", at positions 1 to 81 of the family's 1533-position model. RNAcentral also lists the same sequence under 1 other name. The record is from RNAcentral. Lineage: Bacteria; Bacillati; Bacillota; Bacilli; Caryophanales; Bacillaceae.